GCCGAAGUGGCGGAACAGGGAGACGCGACGGUCUCAAAAACCGUUGGGCAUUACGCCCGUGUGGGUUCGAAUCCCACCUUCGGCA
This 85-nucleotide transfer RNA is filed under the name Chloroflexota bacterium. RNAcentral describes it as "Chloroflexi bacterium (hydrothermal vent metagenome) tRNA-Leu". It matches the Rfam family "tRNA". Rfam says of the family: Transfer RNA (tRNA) molecules are approximately 80 nucleotides in length. Their secondary structure includes four short double-helical elements and three loops (D, anti-codon, and T loops). Further hydrogen bonds mediate the characteristic L-shaped molecular structure. tRNAs have two regions of fundamental functional importance: the anti-codon, which is responsible for specific mRNA codon recognition, and the 3' end, to which the tRNAs corresponding amino acid is attached (by aminoacyl-tRNA synthetases). tRNAs cope with the degeneracy of the genetic code in two manners: having more than one tRNA (with a specific anti-codon) for a particular amino acid; and 'wobble' base-pairing, i.e. permitting non-standard base-pairing at the 3rd anti-codon position. The record is from RNAcentral. Lineage: Bacteria; Bacillati; Chloroflexota.